This 253-nucleotide ribosomal RNA is filed under the name uncultured bacterium. RNAcentral describes it as "partial 16S ribosomal RNA". It matches the Rfam family "Bacterial small subunit ribosomal RNA", at positions 524 to 776 of the family's 1533-position model. The record is from RNAcentral.
UACAGAGGGUGCAAGCGUUGUUCGGAAUUAUUGGGCGUAAAGCGCGUGUAGGCGGUCUUGUAAGUCAGAUGUGAAAUCCCUCAGCUUAACUGAGGAAGUGCGUUUGAAACUGCUUGACUUGAGUACUUGAGGGGGUGUUGGAAUUCCAGAAGUAGAGGUGAAAUUCGUAGAUAUCUGGAGGAACACCAGUGGCGAAAGCGAACACCUGGCAAGUAACUGACGCUGAGACGCGAAAGCGUGGGUAGCAAACAGG